RNAcentral lists this ribosomal RNA (161 nucleotides) under Centaurea pungens. RNAcentral describes it as "5.8S ribosomal RNA". It matches the Rfam family "5.8S ribosomal RNA". From Rfam's summary of the family: 5.8S ribosomal RNA (5.8S rRNA) is a component of the large subunit of the eukaryotic ribosome. The record is from RNAcentral. Lineage: Eukaryota; Viridiplantae; Streptophyta; Magnoliopsida; Asterales; Asteraceae.
ACGACUCUCGGCAACGGAUAUCUCGGCUCACGCAUCGAUGAAGAACGUAGCAAAAUGCGAUACUUGGUGUGAAUUGCAGAAUCCCGUGAACCAUCGAGUUUUUGAACGCAAGUUGCGCCCGAAGCCUCUCGGCCGAGGGCACGUCUGCCUGGGCGUCACGC